Long non-coding RNA from Platichthys flesus (European flounder), 2322 nucleotides. RefSeq lists it as uncharacterized. The record is from RefSeq and is a predicted model, not a curated record. The transcript has 2 exons. Lineage: Eukaryota; Metazoa; Chordata; Actinopteri; Pleuronectiformes; Pleuronectidae.
UUCAACAAAUCAUUUUUUGAUUCAAGAGAAUGACUACAUUUUGAUAUUCGGGACACAUCUGACAUUUGCAAAUACAUCCCUCUUACCUUUCUGACUGUCUCUUAAUAAUACUACUUAGGGUAAGGGUUAGUUUGAAUGAGACAACUAUAGUGGAGUUAUAAAAUCCUGAAAAUUUAACAGAUGAAAAUAUGGAAUUUGGAGAAUCUGGAAUAUUUCAACUAUAACAAGUUUUCCCACCUCAGACUGUCCCAGGCGGUCCAGGUUGGAGAUGUCAAAAGUACCACCGACAGCAGCUGUGUCGACACCCCCCGUCCCUCGCUUCUGCAGACGCAGGUUGUCCAGGAUCUUACUGAAGCGGAUAUCCUGGAAGGUGGAGGACAAAAGUUACUCAGCACAGUUUAAAAGCAAUUAGAUUAACAUUUGAAUUAAUCUGCAUCUGUAUGUUUUUCUCGCAGGUAUUUGGUAUUACCAAGACUUUAAACACAAUCCAUCUGAGUUGGGUUUAGAAAGCAGCAGUUUAAUUAAAUUAAAACAAAUGUCCCUUUCCCCAUUGAUGGUUUCUACUUCCUCAUGGGGUCCUGAGGUGUUCCGAGGCCAGAUGACAUUAAUACUGUCUCUCCACAGUUUUCUGCACUGAGCUGUGUGAUGCCCUGAUAAAUCCACCCCUCUCUAUCCAUCCAUCCAUCACUAACAAUCUUAUAGCAACAUUUAUAGAAAAUAAAUUAAGAGCUUAUUUCCAAAUGAGCUGAUAUUGAAACUCUUGGUCAACAACAUUUACCACUUCAUUUAAUAAAAAUCUAUUUGUUGGUUUUCAAUAGCCUUUAACAGAACAAUUCUAGUUCUUCUCAUCCUUCACUUUUGUGAAUAAAAGAUGUAAUAUCACAGAUAAAAGAGACUAGAUAUGUUGAGGCUUUUUGAGGCCUUGUCUUUGAUAAUCUAAUGCAUUCAUUUGGGACUAUCAUUAUUUAACACAAAUAGAAUAGAGAGUAAAAAAUUGCACAUUAUCUACUGAAGUAUCACCUUGUCUUCAUUCUAUUACAUCUACCCAGUUACCUUGCCCAGCAGGGGCAGUUUGACAUGGACCCCGGCCCUGAGCCCUGUGCCCAGGUUGGAGGGGCAGGUGAGGAUGUAACCGAGCUUCUCGUUCCACAUGAACUCCCAGCCUUUCUCCUGGAUCAGCCGCUCCACCUUGCAAGGAGAGAAUCGGUCACAACACAAUGAAGGAGUGCUCCAUUCAUUCAACAAUCUUUUGACCUUUGAUACGUUUGAUGGACGUGCAAAUACUGUUGUUCAAACACAGCAAACUGUUGGUCGCUGCAGAUUUUUCAUUCAUCAGAGCUGACAAGUAAAGACUUGAGAGUUGUCGUCUUGAAAUGGACUGUGGCUGGACUGGACUGGCAUAGUAUGGGAGAUAAAAACGAUUUUAACAAAGCACUAAAGUGUGUCUCUCAGAGUUGUUGCAACAGUUCAAUACCAAAUGUUUUACUGCUUGUCCUUUGCUCUUUAUGUAAUGCGAAACUGCGGCUACUUGGAUAAAUAAUUUUAGUAAGUUUGUUUGGCCAUGUUUGGCCGGUGUGUUUUUGUCCCUCUGUCUACAAGCUUUACAUCCAUAGCAAGGCAAAGACUAGUGGGAGCUGUUUGUUUUUUCUGCUAGCGCUUUUAUUAAUUAUAUUCUGUUCUUCUUCUCUUCCCUGAUUAAAUCCUACAGCCAUCUGAUGGCAGCAGAGUGCAUACUGUAUGUCUUCUACAGCUGCAGCCUCCCACUUCAAAAUACUGUGUCCUUGGUUGAACUUGGUUGAAUCUGGCACAACUAUCACCAUUGUGCAUGAGCUACUGUGCACAUCAGGCUGGUCAGGUGUGAUGAAAAAUACUGAUUUAUGUGUGACACCCUGAGGAGCGUUGGUAGUGUUUCUGUAGGUUUCCACAAGUUUGACUUUGUGAGACCUUUUUAAUAAAUCAAUUAAUACCGAUGUCAAACACGACAGAUAUGAAGGCAUAUCAGGGUCCCAGAAUUACUAACACUUCAGAUAAGGUAAAGUACCCUAGUAGAGUAUAACCCUUGAUACACUACAUUAUCUUCAAAACUACAGGCAGGGACAGUAGCCUCUAGGUAUCCAUAGCCAAGCUGAGUGUAGUUACCUUGUUGGGCUGAUGUAGUUAACAGUGUGCUUACUAACAAACCUUUAUAUAUUUAUUUUUCUCCCUAAAAAAAGAUUCAGUGAAAAGAAAGAAGCGUUAAAUGAACAUUAACAGAAGGUGUUUAAAACCCAGCACAUAAUAUUUUAAUGUAUGUGAUAAUUUUAAGGCCUAACAUUCAGGGAG